UCAGAACGAACGCUGGUGGCGUGUCUUAUACAUGCAAGUCGAGCGAGGCAGCAAUGCCGAGCGGCGAACGGGUGAGUAACGCGUAAGCAAUCUGCCCCAUAUCAGGAAAUACCCGUGCCAACGCGCGGUUAAUGUCCAGGAGAGUGGCCUUCCGCAUGGAGGGUUGACUAGAGAUUUAUCGGUAUGGGAUGAGCUUGCGUCCGAUUAGCUAGUUGGCGGGGCAACGGCCCACCAAGGCGACGAUCGGUAGCCGGCCUGAGAGGGUGAUCGGCCUACAUUGGGACUGAGAUACGGCCCAGACUCCUACGGGAGGCAGCAGUAGGGAAUAUUGCACAAUGGGGGAAACCCUGAUGCAGCAACGCCACGUGUGGGGAAAGAAGCAUUUCGGUGUGUAAACCACUGUCAUGAGGGAAUAAGGCCUGUCUUCGGGCAGGAUUGAAUGUACCUUGAGAGGAAGCACCGGCAAACUUCGUGCCAGCCGCGGC
Molecule: ribosomal RNA, 485 nt
Filed under: uncultured bacterium
Lineage: Bacteria
Description: bacterial SSU rRNA
Rfam family: Bacterial small subunit ribosomal RNA
Source: RNAcentral